This is a long non-coding RNA of Carassius gibelio (silver crucian carp), 865 nucleotides long. RefSeq lists it as uncharacterized. The transcript is spliced from 3 exons. The record is from RefSeq and is a predicted model, not a curated record. Lineage: Eukaryota; Metazoa; Chordata; Actinopteri; Cypriniformes; Cyprinidae.
CUAUACAAAAUGCUUUAAUUUACUGUAACUGCAUCUGAUAAAUAUGUAACGUUAUAUGAUGCGUUUGAAUAAGUUAACUGUUUUAUGGGUGUGUUUUGUCACAUGUACAUACACCCACGCAUCUUUAAUUGGGCGGAUUGCAUGAAGUUACUGACACGUUAGAGUGAGCAAAGAAUCAUGGAUCAAUGAAAAAUUAAGAGCUUGAUUAUUUUAAAACCGCUAUUAGCCGCGAAACAGAACUGAAAUCGUUAAUCCCACAACGGCUUUCUGUGCUUGUACACCGGAGGCACGCGCACGAGACCCACAGCGUCAGCACUGUCUCCUGCCGUUUGAAUAUUAAAAUAUAUACACAAAAUAUGUCGAAAAUGUCCGUCUUAAUUAGCUUAAACAUAACACAGUGACUUAUGAAUUAAGAGAGUGUAAACUUUUGGGAGUACAUUAGAUUUGAGUCAAUACACUGAAAAAAAGUGCACAUGGCAUGUCAUUACUCUAAAGAAGUCGUUAUAACGUUACUUGAUCUAACUCAAAACAUUACAUUUUCUGUCUAGCCAUCAGUGUUAUGUAAAUAUUUGGUCAAUUUAAAAUUAAAAGAAUGUAUUGUUAGUGUAAAAUAUACAUUUCUGUAAAUUGAAAUUUAAAAUAUUGGUUCCCAUUGUCACGUGAUUUAUAACGUAAUCCGUGGUCAUGCGUGAGGACGUUCAGCAUUCUUGUUAAACCGCAUGGAUGAACUCGGCGUGGUAAAACGUGAAUAAAGAAAAUUGGACGGGGUACUGCUGAACAACAAUUAGGACAGGUUUUGAAUAAUCCAGUCACAUGAAAAACAUUAAUGCAGAAUUUUUUCGCAUCACGACCUUACCUCUACAGA